This 254-nucleotide ribosomal RNA is filed under the name uncultured bacterium. RNAcentral's name for it is "partial 16S ribosomal RNA". It matches the Rfam family "Bacterial small subunit ribosomal RNA", at positions 524 to 776 of the family's 1533-position model. The record is from RNAcentral.
UACGUAGGGUGCUAGCGUUGUCCGGAUUUAUUGGGCGUAAAGAGCUCGUAGGCGGCUUUGUAAGUCGGGUGUGAAAACCCCAGGCUCAACCUGGGGACGCCACUCGAUACUGCAAUGGCUAGAGUCUGGUAGGGGGUCACGGAAUUCCUGGUGUAGCGGUGAAAUGCGCAGAUAUCAGGAGGAACACCGGUGGCGAAGGCGGUGGCCUGGGCCAGUACUGACGCUGAGGAGCGAAAGCGUGGGGAGCAAACAGG